Molecule: long non-coding RNA, 233 nt
Filed under: Homo sapiens (human)
Lineage: Eukaryota; Metazoa; Chordata; Mammalia; Primates; Hominidae
Description: HSALNT0197423
Source: RNAcentral
ACACAGGAAAGGAGAGGGUGCAAGGAAAAUUCCGCCUUUCCGUUGCUGCUUCAAGUUACAUUUGUACUUGCAGACUUGGCAAGUCUGCCGAGUCCGUAGUCUUGUGACUAGUUGACAGAUGGAAACAGUGAAGGCCCAGAGAGAUUCAGUCACUUGCUCAAGGCCACAGGCUGGCAGCUGCAGGCCUAGAGCCCUUCUCAUGAAGAGCAGGAAGUACCCAAAGCCACAGCCAG